Molecule: ribosomal RNA, 519 nt
Filed under: uncultured eukaryote
Lineage: Eukaryota
Description: SSU rRNA
Rfam family: Eukaryotic small subunit ribosomal RNA
Source: RNAcentral
AGGGCACCACCAGGAGUGGAGCCUGCGGCUUAAUUUGACUCAACACGGGGAAACUUACCCGGCCUGGACACUGGAAGGAUUGACAGAUUGAGAGCUCUUUCUUGAUUCAGUGGGUGGUGGUGCAUGGCCGUUCUUAGUUGGUGGAGCGAUUUGUCUGGUUAAUUCCGAUAACGAACGAGACUCUAGCCUAUUAAAUAGGCUCUCGGCUUUUAAACGCCGGGAGGACUUCUUAGAGGGACAGGUGGCGGUUCAGCCGCACGAAAGAGAGCAAUAGCAGGUCUGUGAUGCCCUUUGUUGUCCGGGGCCGCACGCGCGCUACACUGAAGAGAUCAGCGUGCUUUACGUUCCUGCUCCAACCGGAGUGGGGAACCCAGUGAACCUUCUUCGUGAUUGGGAUAGAAGAUUGUAAUUAUUCUUCUUGAACGAGGAAUUCCCAGUAAAUGCGAGUCAUAAGCUCGCGUUGAUUACGUCCCUGCCCUUUGUACACACCGCCCGUCGCUACUACCGAUUGAACGGUUU